Molecule: unclassified non-coding RNA, 390 nt
Filed under: soil metagenome
Description: partial contains 5.8S ribosomal RNA, internal transcribed spacer 2, and large subunit ribosomal RNA
Rfam family: 5.8S ribosomal RNA (bases 1-121)
Source: RNAcentral
GAUGAAGAACGCAGCGAAAUGCGAUACUUGGUGUGAAUUGCAGAAUCCCGUGAACCAUCGAGUCUUUGAACGCAAGUUGCGCCCGAAGCCAUUAGGCCGAGGGCACGCCGCCUGGGCGUCACACGUCGUUGCCCCCCCAUCUACUCCUUCGGGAUUGCGGGGGGCGGAUGAUGGCCUCUCGUGCGCCUCGUCGCGCGGUUGGCCUAAAUGCCAAGUCCUCGGCGACGCACGCCACGACAAUCGGUGGUUGCGAAACCUCGGUUGCCUGUCGUGUGCGGUCGUCGCGCAUCGAGGGCUCGAAAAAAUUGCCGGGCUUCGGCUCGACUUUCAACGCGACCCCAGGUCAGGCGGGGUUACCCGCUGAAUUUAAGCAUAUCAAUAAGCGGAGGA